AGACAACAAAAUGUUUAAUAUUAUUAUUUUGUCACCUUAGGUCGAUCGGUAUCUCACAUUCUUAAUUUAUUAAGGAUUUUAUUUCCUAAGUUUUUCUAGGUCACACCCAUUAUUUUUCCUGGGCCAUUAGCUCAGGUGGUUAGAGCGCACCCCUGAUAAGGGUGAGGUCCCUGGUUCAAGUCCAGGAUGGCCCAUAUCUCUAUGUUGGGGGUAUAGCUCAGUUGGUAGAGCGCCUGCUUUGCAAGCAGGAUGUCAGCGGUUCGAGUCCGCUUACCUCCACUGAUUACCACCUCUUCCAUAAUUAAUAAAAAGGAAAAGUUUGAGUUGUGAUCAAAUUCUGAACGAAUCUAGCCUCCUAAUCUAAUCAUUAAGAUGCUGGACUCAGUGAAUUAAUUUCAUUGUUUUCAGAGAACCUUGACAACUGCAUAGAUUAUUUUUAAAGACAAUAAGCAUCUUUAAUGAUGCAGAUUUAUUAUUUGUACGAAUGCAUUAAUAACAAUUCUAUUAAGCUGAUGCUUCAAAUUAUGAAGUUAUU
Molecule: transfer RNA, 535 nt
Filed under: uncultured cyanobacterium
Lineage: Bacteria; Bacillati; Cyanobacteriota
Description: partial 16S-23S intergenic spacer
Rfam family: tRNA (bases 207-279)
Source: RNAcentral